Mirounga angustirostris (Northern elephant seal) is the source of this 9805-nucleotide RNA transcript. It is a transcript of the gene named FYVE, RhoGEF and PH domain containing 5, with no coding region annotated. The transcript is spliced from 22 exons. The record is from RefSeq and is a predicted model, not a curated record. Lineage: Eukaryota; Metazoa; Chordata; Mammalia; Carnivora; Phocidae.
GCCGCGCGCUGCCCGGGCCGCCGCCCCACGCGCGGUGCACUCGCGCCCCCUCCCCUCUCCCGCCCCCGGCCAGCGCGGCCCCGCCCCCGGAGGCUCGCGGCCCGCGCCCCCACUUGCCCCGCGCUGCGCGCGGAAUCUCGAGCGAAGGCAACGCCGCGCGCUGCCCCGGCCGCCGCCCCGAGCGCCCGGCGUUCGCGCCCCCUCCCCGCCCCGCUCCGCCCCGCCCAGCCCAGCCCGGAGGCUCGCGCCCCGCGCCCCCACUUGCCCUGCGCGCCGCGCGGAGUCCGGCGCGCGCCGGGGGGGCGGGGCGGGCGCCAGGGAGUGCGGGCCCCGCGGGGCGGCCAUGGAGUAAGGCGGCGCGCGGACUCGCGCUGGGACGGACCGACUGACUGACCGACGGGCGGCCCCGGGCUGGGCGUGCUGGAAGAUGAACAGAGCAGAUUCACCAAAACCACCAGUUGCUCCCAAGCCAAAGACUGCCAGUCCCCUCACACCUGUGACAGCACCCAAAUUCCCUUCAUCACCCCGGCCUGAUAGUCUUCACAGUCCCAACUCCAUGUCUAGGGGGCCGAAGCCCCCCAUUGCCCCUAAGCCCAGGCUGGCGACCCCCAGUGAGUGGAGAGCCAGCGUGUACAUGAUCAACAGCUUGAACAAAUGCAGCAACGGGAAAGUGCUCUGCGUUGACAGGGGGCUUUACGGAGAGCACCGGUCCAACUUGGAGUGCUCUGAGUCUGAGGCUGAUGAGGAGUACAUUGUGGUCCCCAAGGCUCCGCCGAAAGAGGACGAACCCAGGUGUAGCAGCUCUGCAGAGAAUGCAGUAAUGGUGCCUCCAGAUGCCGCUGGAGAGGAGUGCCGGGAGGGAGGCGAGGAGAGCGACCUGGAGGGGAUGGGAGCUGCUGAGGACUUGGCAGCCCCAGCUGAAGUGGUGCUGGGUGAAGAGGUUGAUGGAGGCAUAGCCCCCACCCCUGAGAAUGUGGGGGUGGAGGAUGGUGCCUGUGAUCCAGGGGCAGAGGAGCAGACAUUUACAAGUGAGGAGGAAGAGAAGCUAGUGGAAGAACACAACGUGUACAACCUGGAGGACAGGGGCCCUUGGGAUGGAGAAGCAGUCCUUCCAAGUGAUAUCAUUCUAACUCACGUUGAUUUAGAGGGUCCAGCAACUCCCAGUGAUGAGCCUGGGCCCCCUGGGACACCCACAGAGGCAGAGGAGGGUGGUGAGGAAGGCUCCACCAACACAGAACCAGGGGCUCCAGAUGAACGUGUGGAUUCUGACAGGCCCCCUGAGGGGGAUGCUGAAGAUGACAGCAAGGAACCCACAGAGAAUGAGGGCUUGGCAAUGGGUGUUCAGGAGGCAGAGAUGGCCACAGACAGCCCUGAAGUCCCAGAGGAAGGGGGUGAAAAUGCCACAGCCAGUGGUGACCAGGAUGACCAGGAUGAACCACCUGACCAAAAUGAGAAAACGGACCAAGAAGAAAUGGCCGCAGUCACCCGGGAGGUGGGAGAGGACCCUCGAGAAGGUGAAGACCUGGUGCAGGAAGAACCUGCCGAGGAGAGCUGCCAAAUCAUUCCUUUCGAGAAUGAUGGCAUGGAUGAAUUUGUGACUUCACUCUCAGGAAGUCCCUACGAGUUCUUUCCGACUGAGAGCACCUCUUUCUGUAGCGAGAGCUACUCCUCUUUUUCCAAGUCAGCAAAAGACUUAGAGUCACAGCAGGAACCACAGUCUGGAGAACGUGCAGAGCAGGACCCCAUUGUUGGAACUUCGUGUGGCUCUGGGGAGGGCCCCUCUGUCCCUGACGUGGUGGUCAUGCCAGAGGAUGAGGAUGCCAUAGACGAUGGGCUCACCAACCCCUAUGAGAUGGGAGUUGACCUGGAGCAAGGGUCUGACCCUGGGGAAGGAGAGAAGCCUGAGACACAGGCUGCAUCUGACAUGCUGAGUGGUUAUGGCACAAAAGAAGAAAUGAACUCUGAUGCUGAGGGUGGCCUGGUCUCCAUCGACAGGAAGAACAUCAUCACUAGGGCCAGGCCCCACUCCGGGAAGGUGGCUGGCUAUGUCCCAGAAACUGUCCCAGAAGAAACUGGACCAGAAGCUGGCUCAUCAGCCAUUGGCAUUAGAGGUGCCACCAAGGAGGCGAGAAAGACGGUUCUUUCGUUGGAGGGGAAACCACUGGAAACCAGCAGGGCCUUGCCAGCAAAGCCCAGAGCCUUCACUCUAUACCCCCGAUCAUUCUCUGUGGAAGGCCGAGAGAUUCCAGUCUCCUUGUACCGGGAGUCGGAGGCAUCGGGCUUGGAUGACCAUAGGAUCAAAAGGAAAGAUGACAACCUUUCUCUGCCCUGUAUGAUUGGCUCCUCUGGGAGUUUCUCCCAGAGGAACCACCUUCCGUCCAGCGGCACCUCAACACCCUCUUCUGUGGUCGACAUCCCGCCCCCUUUCGACCUGGCCUGCAUCACCAAAAAGCCCAUCACAAAGAGCUCUCCCUCCCUGCUGAUCGAGAGUGAGCCCCCAGACAAGUACACCAAGAAGAAGAAGUCAUCUUUCAAGAGGUUCCUGGCACUGACUUUUAAAAAGAAGUCGGAGAACAAAGUGCACGUGGAUGUCAACGUGUCUUCUUCCAGGUCGUCUUCAGAAUCCAGCUACCAUGGGCCUGCCAGGCUUCUGGAAAUUGACCGCAGGAGCCUCAGCAACUCCCCACAGCUUAAGGCUCGGACUGGCAAGCUCCGGGCUUCCGAUUCCCCUUCCUCCCUCAUCUUCUACAGGGAUGGCAAGAGGAAAGGUGUCCCCUUCAGCAGGACGGUGUCCAGAGUGGAGUCCUUCGAAGACCGCUCCCGGCCCCCCUUUCUGCCCUUGCCCCUGACCAAGCCUCGGUCCAUCUCAUUCCCCAACGCCGACACUUCAGACUAUGAGAACAUCCCAGCCAUGAACUCAGACUAUGAAAAUAUUCAGAUUCCACCCCGGAGGCCUGCGAGGGCUGGGACAUUUACAAAACUGUUUGAAGAUCAGAGCAGAGCCCUGUCCACGGCAAAUGAAAACGAUGGCUAUGUGGACAUGAGCAGCUUCAACGCCUUUGAAAGCAAACAACAGAGCGCAGACCAAGAAGCAGAAAGCGCCUACACAGAACCUUAUAAGGUCUGCCCCAUCUCGGCGGCAGCCCCCAAAGAGGACCUAUCAUCGGAUGAAGAACAGGGAAGCUCGGAGGAGGAGGAGAGUGUUCCAAGAGACCCCAGCCUCACCCACAAGCUGGAAGGACUGUCUAGAGCCCAUGUCAUCGCACAGGAACUGCUGUCUUCAGAGAAAGCAUACAUGGAGAUGCUCCAGCACUUACAUCUGGAUUUCCACGGAGCUGUCAUGAGGGCCUUGGAUGAAAUAGACCAGGAGGGCAAGGACACGUUGGCCAGGGAGGAGCUGAGGCGUGGCCUGAGUGAACUCCCAGCCAUCCGAGACCUGCACCAGGGGAUCCUGGAGGAGCUGGGGGAGAGGCUGUUGCACUGGGAGGGCCAGCAGAAGGUGGCUGACGUCUUCCUGGCCCGGGAACAAGAGUUUGACCAUCAUGCCGCUCACAUCCUGCAGUUCGACAGGUAUCUGAGUCUGCUCAGUGAGAACUGCCUGCAUUCUCCCCGGCUGGCCGCUGCUGUCCGCGAGUUUGAGCAGAGUCAGCAAGGAGGUGGCCAGAACGUGAAGCACCGGCUGCUGCGGGUGGUUCAGCGCCUCUUCCAGUACCAAGUGCUCCUCACAGACUAUUUAAACAACCUUUGUCCGGACUCAGCUGAGUACGAUAACACGCAGGGUGCCCUCACCCUCAUCUCCAAAGUCACAGACCAUGCCAAUGAUAGCAUGGAGCAAGGGGAAAACCUGCAGAAGUUGGUCCACAUUGAGCACAGCGUUCGGGGCCAAGGGGAUCUCCUCCAGCCAGGAAGGGAGUUUCUCAAGGAGGGGACACUGAUGAAAGUAACAGGGAAAAGCAGACGCCCCCGGCACCUGUUCCUGAUGAGCGAUGUGCUCCUGUAUACGUAUCCCCAGAAGGACGGGAAAUACCGGCUGAAGAACACAUUGUCAGUGGCCAGCAUGAAGGUCAGUCGUCCUGUGAUGGAGAAAGUGCCCUAUGCUCUAAAGAUCGAGACUUCCCAGUCCUGCCUGACUCUAUCUGCGAGCUCCUGCGCAGAGCGGGACGAGUGGCACAGCUGUCUGAGCAGAGCCCUCCCUGAGGAUUACAAGGCCCAGGCCCUGGCUGCCUUUCACCACAGUGUGGAGAUACGGGAGAGGCUGGGGGUCAGCCUGGGGGAGAGGCCCCCCACUCUGGUGCCCGUCACACAUGUUAUGAUGUGCAUGAACUGUGGCUGCGACUUCUCCCUCACCCUGAGGCGUCACCACUGCCACGCCUGUGGCAAGAUUGUGUGCCGGAACUGUUCAAGAAACAAGUACCCUCUGAAGUACCUCAAGGACCGGAUGGCCAAGGUCUGUGACGGCUGCUAUGGGGAGCUGAAGAAGAGGGGCGGGGAUGUCCCAGGCCUGAUGAGAGAGCGGCCCGUGAGCAUGAGCUUCCCCCUGUCCUCCCCCCGCUUCUCGAGCAGUGCCUUCUCGUCUGUCUUCCACGGCAUCAACCCCUCGACCUUCAAGAAACAGAAGAAGGUCCCUUCGGCCCUGACCGAGGUGGCCGCCUCGGGAGAGGGCUCCGCCAUCAGUGGCUAUCUGAGCCGGUGCAAGAAAGGCAAGAGGCACUGGAAGAAGCUCUGGUUUGUCAUCAAAGGCAAAGUGCUCUACACCUACAUGGCCAGUGAGAACAAACUGAAAUGUGAUGUGAUGCCCACCUGCAGCCCAGGGCAGCAUCUUCCAAAGACACAGUGGCCAUGGAAAGUAUGCCUCUGCUCGGUUUCACCAUUGCCCCAGAGAAGGAAGAGGGCAGCAGUGAAGUAGGACCUAUUUUUCACCUCUACCACAAGAAAACCCUAUUUUAUAGCUUCAAAGCAGAGGAUACCAAUUCAGCUCAAAGGUGGAUCGAGGCCAUGGAAGAUGCAAGUGUGUUAUAGCAGUUAUCAAGCAUGUGGACUGAGAAUAAAGUCUUAGGUUGAAUGUGGACCCUUCCAGAAGCCAAUCUGUGUCUCUGCUCCUCGGGACUCAUAUCUGGAUUCAGCACGGGGCCUCAUCUUUUUUGCCAUAACCCCCUCUCUCACCGUCACAAGUGGAACCCCUAAGGAAUAUUUAUGAACCGCUCCUUUUCUAUUCUUGUGUCUUCUAGCCGCCCGACCCCGCCCCACCCCAGCAUAAACGAUCUCCUUACCGGGUAGUGAGACCACGUUUAGUAACGUGAAGACAUGGAAACAAAAGGAAAAAAGUACAUUUUAGAAAUGCAGGCUUUUUAGUGGAAACAAGCUUUUACAGUUUUUACCAGUGGUAAACAUUAUCACCUUCCAUAGCACUGAUGUCAGUGCCUCAGGCGAAACGAGAAACAACUGGUAAAUAACAGCUACCCUCAUCGAAAGCACUUUAUUGUUUUACUGAGCUACAACCUCCAGUUUUAUGUUUUCCAAGUGAUUUACUUAAGUAAGGAGCAGAUGGAGUCCUGUGGACUAAUUUGCCACCAGUUCUCAACAAGGGUGUACGUACAGUUGAUUUGUGCCAACACGGAUGGACCUGGCCAAGUGGGCAGGUGAGCGGCACUCAGAGGGGAGGGUCCUCCUUACUGCAGAGGCCGCACUGCACUGGAUAAGGCAAGGAUUUUCUCCUCCACUUGAUCAUGAGACCUGUAUACGGACAUGACUUAAGGAAGGACCCCCUCCUUCCCGGGGUGGUCCUCACACUACCCCAGUGCUGGAUGCUCGGCUGCCGGCAGGCCCAGCCCCCACCCUGGAGGUCACCACAAACCCUCUGAAGAGAUAGGGUCUGCUGUAAUUUAUUGUGUGCCUUCCUGUGUUUACCCAACAUGAGCUGACAGUGUUAUGUGUAAAAGAACCUGUGCUUGUUUUCAACAUGGUUACCCUUCGGCUGUAUUACCAAAGCCUUGAAAGAUACGAAGACAGAAAAGAUAUAAUCAGAAAGUGAAUUGGUGGUCUUGGCCAGUGGCUCUGGACACAGUGAGGGAGCACAGAAGUAGUGGCUUGAAGAAACUCUCUGGGCACCUGGGGCUCAGCCACCUCCCGCUGAUGACUGCUGCUCAUCAUGCUGGACAAAUUUCUACAUAGAGCAAGAAUGGGGGUGGGGCAGGUGGGAUUCCUUGUUACUCUCAUUGAAAUAGAAAACGAUCAUAUCAUUUCCUGAUGUCCUGUCCCCUAAACAAAACGGCAUUUGCGACAAACCUUUUGUAAAAAGCACCAUCUCAAGGAGUUAUUUACAUUAAAUAUUUUCAGGGGAAUUUUUUUUUCUAGUUUGCAAUUUCUCCUUUAAAAUGUUUGCAUUGAACAUUUAAUUAAUGAUUCAAACUAAGUGAUUAGACAGAUCUUUUUAUUAAUUUUUGAGGGCUCAAUUCCAAUGCAACCACUUUCAUUAUCAGACCUACUUUAAGCGGGCCUUCUAGAGCCUCUGAGCCUUUAAAAAGCACAGCAAGACUUCGGCACCAGGUAGUGGGAGCUUCCCCAAUCUGCUGUGCGCCACUGGCCACUGUCAGUUUCUGGGCUCCAGGUAGAAUUAUGCAUUUGGAAGUCAUCUGAAGGUCUCUUGUACCAUAUAACAUCCUAUUUCUGACGCUGAAAAGAAGAGGUAAUGGGGCUUUGAUUUCUCAGUCAGUAGUUACCCUAAUAAAAACCACCUGGGUUAUAGAUAAAACCUAGUGGAUCAGUUUUAUAAAAGGAAGUGGCAGGGGCCACUAAGAUCCUCCACAGUUCCUAUGUGACUGGGCAAGGACCCAUCUGGUUUACCUGUAACUCAUUCGUACCUGUCCUUCCUACGGUUCUUCGAUUUCAGCCAAUUUCUACUAGUCAAUUUCGCUUGCUGUUCCUUCCCUGACCUUCUCUUUGUCCAGCCCAUUUUACAGGUUCAUGGGGCCUGGUUGGAAUAACUCAAGUGAAGCCAUCCACCUGGCCUAAGGGUGGAUGCACCCAGGGGCUAGAGAAGUAACAGCUUUGAUGCCACGACCACGCUCCCCAAGCUUCCCAUGGUAUCUGCUUUGCCUACCUGCUCCCUAGGCUUCAGCAAAGGCUGUGUUUCUAGGGAGGAAGCAGUUCUGUACCAAGCUGUAGCCCAGAAAUGAGAGCACACAGGGUAAAGUCACUCACGUCAGAGGCUCCAGCUCCAAGCCUUGGUGUUUUUACCAGUCACAUGGAGACCAUUCCAACUUCCAAAAGAGUUCAGGGGUAAAGCACAAACCAAACAUUCAAGAAAGUGGACUGGAAACCAUAACCCCAUGGGGGAAGGGCAUGCACUGUACAAAGUGAAAAUAAGUAACGGGCCCUGCUCUGUGACAAUACAAGAUGAAGACAAUAUGCAAAGACCUUCCUUCUUAUUCAUGGAAAUGGCAAGAAAGAAGCCAGGCCUGAAGAGAGCCUGGCAGGGGCAGGCUGAGCUCCUUUGGUCAUCAGGUCUUUUCCCCCUCUAUUUGUUUUGAAUGACCUCUCCUUGAGCUCGUCACACAUGGGUCAAGAAAACACAGCCCUUUGCAGGGUUGGCCUCUGCCUGCUUCUCAGAAUCAGUAAAAGUUUAUGAAACUGGAGUUACACUGAAAGCACUUACUUUCAAGUGGCUUCACACCUUCCCUGCAAUGUAUUUCCAGCCUGGAUUGGUUUUAGUAACUAGGAAGAAUUCUGUUCAUGAUUACUAAUACAAAGCACACUAGAAACAAAGUGUCCAGGGACAUUGGUCGAGUUCCUGGCUCCUGGUAAUAAUUCUUGCACAUAUCAGAAGUAGGCUUUGAGUUGUUGUGGUCAGGCCGACAGACACGCUGACCACGUAUUCUCCAUUGGAUGCAGCCUGGUCCCUUAUGUGGGUGUGGACUGAGGGUGGAUCAUUGGGUGUACGCCAUGCAAGCCAGUGCCCAGGACACCGACAGCCCUGCUACCACAACUGAAGGGUAAUGAGGUCAGAGUCUUUUCUUCAUCCAGCCCAGCCUUUUGUUUGACUGAGUAUAAAUGUCAUCGCUGAACACUGAACCUCUAAAUGGGGACUGAGGUCACCUGGGCUAGGAGUGGUAGGACUAAGCUGGAGCCUGAGUUCUGCUACAAGGCAGAGACAACAACAUGCUAGAAUAUUCUGUUAAUUGAUUCAACCGUGUUUUGUGGCUUCUAUAAUCGUGGGCGUUUUGCGCUUCCACACAUGAAUGGUCAGUUGAAAGGACAGACGUGUCCACGCUAAGGAGUCUGUUUUCAAUAAGUAAGAGCAAACUAACAUCAAAUUGGUUUAAAUAGCUUUACAAGAGGAGGUCCAAAAGCAGGGCAGUUUCAGACUUCGACAGUAUCCCUAAGGACCAAGCUCUUUGGGCUUCUCUAAUCUGCUGUCCAGCGUCAGCUUGAUUCCAGGGCUGGUUCUCCAGAGACUGAUGAGUGACUGCCACUGAUGGCGGGGCUAGAGGUUUUCCUGUUCACAGGCACCAGAGAGGGGAAGCUCAUCUUCCUGUUGUAGCUUUUUCUUAGAGGCACCCAGCAGGCCUUCCGUGACACUCCAGGUCCACACUUACUUAUUGCCUGCCCUUUCUUAAGCUACUUACAGGGAGAGACUGGUCAGCUGGGGGCUGAGGGGAGGACGGCUGCUGAGGAUCCACCCACAAAGUCCACUCUUUGGACCACAUCUUUUGGAAAGACUACGGUUUGGAUUAGCAUAAUGUAAGGGCUCUGCAGGGCCAUGGAGGAAGCUCCCUAGGUGGCCUCAGUUUCUUCCUUGCACAGAUAAUCUGGUGAUGCUGUACAGGAAAGGGCAUCCUCUGCUGACAGAACAGAAUGACAACAGGCCUCAUUCUCUUGACAGUCCUUCACGGGUACUGUUACAAUAGAGCAAGUAUAGAAAGGCAGCACAUCCACAAGAGUGAAAGAGGUUUGUACAAAAUCCGUGUUAAGAAAGCAGAGAGAAACAAAGACACUGUGAACAAAAAUUUUAGCCUUGUUUUUUUCAACUCUAGGAGUGGGUUAUGAAAUCGACGCAGUGGACCACAACCAGCUCCCUCCCCCAGCCCCACCCUACAUGCUCACUGAAGACAGCAGAGCGGAACACAGCAGGGCGUAUCCGUCCUCCUUAAGGCUGUUUUAUGACAUUUUGUUUUUCAAUUGUGUGUGCAUACACAUGAUAUUACUGAUUGUUGAUGUCAAAAUGUAGUUCCACUUCUAGAUUAUGGUCAAAACUUACUUUCAAAAAAUUUUUAAGCCACUAGCUUAAGACUGUCAGGUAAGAAAAAAAUGAGCACAGAGUUGCAGUUAAGACAUAUAAUGAGCCAAAUCAAGACCUUACUAAAGACACAUAUUCAAAUGUAAGGACAUUGCCAGUUUUAUUUUUUGAAUGCUUCAAAAAUAUAACGAGGGGAAAGGUAUAAAAUUUAUGGUAAAGCUACAGAAAUAGUUUUGAUCAGGAAAUGGUAUGGUAGCAAUCAAGGUAUCAGAUACCUAUAAGCAAAGUAACAUACACCUGUUAUUGGUGUAUGUAAAUUAUAAAUUAUAACAAUUAUCCAGAAGCUGAGAGUUGCAAAUAUGACAGAACUUUAGAAUAACAACAUGUUUUAUGCCAGGGGCUCCCAAAGCUUAUUUUCAACAGUGACCACUACUCUGGUUUAUUACAUAAAGAUUUCCCCACUCAAGUGAGAACUGCCCUAAAUGACCUCAAAUUCUCUUCAAAAUUAGGAUCUCACUUUCAAAAGUGCAAUUCACAUUCUCUCCAAAGGUAGACUCAGAGGGAAAGUAA